Molecule: long non-coding RNA, 934 nt
Filed under: Chinchilla lanigera (long-tailed chinchilla)
Lineage: Eukaryota; Metazoa; Chordata; Mammalia; Rodentia; Chinchillidae
Description: lncRNA (ENSCLAG00000023513.1)
Source: RNAcentral
GUUGAAAGACUCGAAAACACAGUAAGCAUGGAAAACAAUAUGACUGAAAAUGAUUGAUAACUAAAGAAAAUCAAACAUCAAUACUGUAAUGUGCGCAGAAGAAAGGACCAGAAAAUGAGAGAAAUCCAAGAUGAUGAACUACAGUGAAAACUUUCCAAGCCCAGGGUUAUAUAGGCAAAAAAUCCCAUUAUGAGGUGGCUAGGAGGACACAAUAGAUGACAGAAUCUAGAAUGUUUGUUGUCGUCUGAUCUCAUCCACUCUCUUCCUUGGCUUCGUACUGAUAAUGAGAGAAAUCCAGACCAAAGGAUUGGGUCACCCACUGCCAGAGUUUCCAGAUGAGCAAGCUGUCGACUGUGAAAGAUCAGCUUGCUGUGGUCUCUGGCUUUUUGCUUGCUGUGCAUGAAGAUGUCACUGCACAAGGCUUCGCCCGGAGUCUUUCUGGACGCAUUCAAAGACUCCUCUCCUCCCUUCUCCAGGCCUUCUGCCAGCUUCUUUGGCCCCACCACAAGAUCUCGGAGAGCCUCCUUUUCUUCCCGUUGCCUUCACAAUGCCAGCUAUACUUUGCAUACAGGAGUGCGAAGAUCAAGUCGAACAAAUCCUUCCUCCCCAACAAGUUGCCAAAAAUCAUUAAGGAUGAAAGCAAUCAAACAAAAUCAUAUUUCCAAUAGAGUUUGCUAUGUUAUAAGAAUUGCAGAGAAAUCCAACUGUUGGUUUUAUCAGCAAAUCAUAUGGCUGGUAGGGGUGCAGUGGAAAUACCUUGUAUUUUUGCCUGGAGAAGUACCUGGUAUCAUAGCUUCAACAUAACUGAAGCUAAAAUUGGGGGAACCAGAGCGGGAAAAGGUGAAUUCACAGAGUGCAGCUCCAAGCUGACUGGAUUAACGAGAAGGAAGGUAGGCGAGCAGGUGGUUGAUUUCAAAAGCAUAGUUAACAAAUC